UGGGGAAUUUUGGACAAUGGGCGAAAGCCUGAUCCAGCAAUGCCGCGUGUGUGAAGAAGGCCUUCGGGUUGUAAAGCACUUUUGUCCGGAAAGAAAUCCUUGGCUCUAAUACAGUCGGGGGAUGACGGUACUGGAAGAAUAAGCACCGGCUAACUACGUGCCAGCAGCCGCGGUAAUACGUAGGGUGCAAGCGUUAAUCGGAAUUACUGGGCGUAAAGCGUGCGCAGGCGGUUUGCUAAGACCGAUGUGAAAUCCCCGGGCUCAACCUGGGAACUGCAUUGGUGACUGGCAGGCUAGAGUAUGGCAGAGGGGGGUAGAAUUCCACGUGUAGCAGUGAAAUGCGUAGAGAUGUGGAGGAAUACCGAUGGCGAAGGCAGCCCCCUGGGCCAAAUACUGACGCUCAUGCACGAAAAGCGUGGGGAGCAAAACAGGAUUAGAUACCCCUGGGUAGUCCACGCCCUAAAACGAUGUCAACUAGUUGUUGGGGAUUCAUUUCCUUAGUAACGUAGCUAACGCGUGAAGUUGACCGCCUGGGGGAGUACGGUCGCAAGAUUAAAACUCAAAUGAAUUGACGGGGUCAUAGCUGUUUCCU
RNAcentral lists this ribosomal RNA (592 nucleotides) under uncultured bacterium. RNAcentral's name for it is "partial 16S ribosomal RNA". It matches the Rfam family "Bacterial small subunit ribosomal RNA", at positions 355 to 1375 of the family's 1533-position model. The record is from RNAcentral.